RNAcentral lists this ribosomal RNA (492 nucleotides) under uncultured bacterium. RNAcentral's name for it is "partial 16S ribosomal RNA". It matches the Rfam family "Bacterial small subunit ribosomal RNA", at positions 29 to 507 of the family's 1533-position model. The record is from RNAcentral.
AGUGAACGCUGGCGGUAGGCCUAACACAUGCAAGUCGAACGGCAGCACAGUAAGAGCUUGCUCUUACGGGUGGCGAGUGGCGGACGGGUGAGGAAUACAUCGGAAUCUACUUUUUCGUGGGGGAUAACGUAGGGAAACUUACGCUAAUACCGCAUACGACCUACGGGUGAAAGCAGGGGAUCUUCGGACCUUGCGCGAUUGAAUGAGCCGAUGUCGGAUUAGCUAGUUGGCGGGGUAAAGGCCCACCAAGGCGACGAUCCGUAGCUGGUCUGAGAGGAUGAUCAGCCACACUGGAACUGAGACACGGUCCAGACUCCUACGGGAGGCACCAGUGGGGAAUAUUGGACAAUGGGCGCAAGCCUGAUCCAGCCAUACCGCGUGGGUGAAGAAGGCCUUCGGGGUGUAAAGCCCUUUUGUUGGGAAAGAAAAGCAGCAGGUUAAUACCCCGCUGUUCUGACGGUACCCAAAGAAUAAGCACCGGCUAACUUCGUG